CCGAAUUCCGAAAUGAAAUGGUGGUUUUAAAUAGCCAACAGUAAUGCAUGAUUUUAUAACUCUUGCAAUUUAUCCACGUGAACGCAGGGUGCACAAGUUUGAAUGAAACAAUGAACAACAACAGGAUGCUGUCAUUUACGCUUCAAUCGGUUUUCUCAUAAAAAUGGAAAUGUUUUCAGCUGCUUUAAUUACAGUUGACUAUGCAGUAGUUAAGUUAGCUUAAACAGAUGACCAAGACAACAUGGGAAGUCACUAGUCCAAAGGAUCAAAGUCAUUGACAAACAACGCUGGAUUACUUGCUGCAAGUUUCAAGUUCAUAAAAUCGAUUUUCAUCUAAGGAAAAGAAGAUAGAGUAUGUAAUUCUUGUAAGAGAUUUAGCCGCAGAAGACAUUGUUAACCAUGGUGAACAGACAGGCGGAUGGCCAUGAAAAGGUAGACUGAAGRUGCUUUGAACCAAUUAUGAGGCAGUCUCUUUGUCCAGACCAUUCCAGUCUAGAAAUUCGCUCCUAAUCGCACCAUCUUCUUACCAAUAAAUUUAUGCAUGUAAAAUUCACUGUAAUAAAAGUAAUGAUAGAACUCUUUAUUCAAUCGCUUGAAAAAAGAAAUAAUGCGCAUGCGUGUCCAAUGUAAAUGAAUACAUAAAUUGAAAGCUAUGGUUACUAAAAAUGAGUCUAUUAGCAAAACURUUCGUUAAACGAAAUGCAUGGAGCACUCAGAAUUCUUUAAUAA
This is a long non-coding RNA of Exaiptasia diaphana, 729 nucleotides long. RefSeq lists it as uncharacterized. The record is from RefSeq and is a predicted model, not a curated record. Lineage: Eukaryota; Metazoa; Cnidaria; Anthozoa; Actiniaria; Aiptasiidae. The transcript is spliced from 3 exons.